Molecule: ribosomal RNA, 494 nt
Filed under: uncultured bacterium
Lineage: Bacteria
Description: partial 16S ribosomal RNA
Rfam family: Bacterial small subunit ribosomal RNA
Source: RNAcentral
GACGAACGCUGGCGGCGUGCUUAACACAUGCAAGUCGAACGGAAAGGCCUGCUUUCCCUUGUGGAUUGCGGGUACUCGAGUGGCGAACGGGUGAGUAACACGUGAGUGAUCUGCCCCCAACUUGGGUAUAAGCCUGGGAAACUGGGUCUAAUUCCCGGUAGGACUGCAGGGUGGUGCCUGUGGUGGAAAACGAUUUUCUAGUGGUUGGGGAUGAGCUCGCGGCCUAUGAUCUUGUUGGUGGGGUAAUGGCCUACCAAGGCGGCGACGGGUAGCCGGACGGAGAGGGUGGACGGUGACACUGGGACUGGGAUACGGCACAGACGCCUACGGGAGGCAGCAGUGGGGAAUAUUAGACAAUGGGCGGAAGCCUGCUGCAGCGACGCCGCGUGGGGGAUGACGGCCUUCGGGUUGUAAACUCCUUUCGACCGCGAGGAAGCCACCUGGUUGGAAGGGUGGUGACGGUAGUGGUAGAAGAAGCACCGGCUAACUACGUG